UCACUGGAGGGCUAGUGGUUAGGCAACAGCGCUCUCACUGCUGUGGCCCAGGUUCGUUUCCCAGCCAGGGAA
Non-coding RNA from Pangasianodon gigas (Mekong giant catfish), 72 nucleotides. The record is from the annotation of a GenBank genome assembly. Lineage: Eukaryota; Metazoa; Chordata; Actinopteri; Siluriformes; Pangasiidae.